Passer domesticus (house sparrow) is the source of this 632-nucleotide long non-coding RNA. RefSeq lists it as uncharacterized. NCBI's taxonomy places the organism in Eukaryota, Metazoa, Chordata, Aves, Passeriformes, Passeridae. The record is from RefSeq and is a predicted model, not a curated record. The transcript is spliced from 4 exons.
GAAGCCUUCUGGAGCUGCUGGGUGAUGCAGAUGGACAGGUGGUCAGCACGUCCCUCUCUCUGUUGAAGAAGAUGCUCCAUAAAAAACAUCUCAUGAUAUCCAGCACUUCUGCCCCAAAGCUAGCUGAGGCACUCCUGCCACUCUUUGACUGUGACAACAGCCAUCUGCAGCUGCUCUCCAUUUCCCUCUUCUGCAAGGUGAUGGAAUUGGUAGUGGAAGAGGGUAAAAAGCCCCUGAAGAGAAUUGUGAGCUGGAGCCUGCUCCCACUCUUCUUGCACUGUCAUGAUGAGAACUGGGACGUGGCAGAGGCAGGUUUCCUCGGCGCCAUUUUAGAGAGCAGUGGAGGCAGCACUUGACGGAGGUAACAAGGGUGGGUGUGAACUGCAGGGACUAACAGGUUCAACCUUGUAACAACAACUCUGCUUAUUACAACUUCAAAUCAACAGUAACAUUAGAGGUUUUACAUCUUAACAACAACAUAAUUAACACACUUAACUUAUUGAAACUUCACAUUUAACAGUAACACUUUCAAUGGCCUUAACUUAUAGGAUUGUCCAUUACAAGAGGGUUCUGAAGACAGAGCAGCCAUUGAAAAUUGAUGAGUGCCUGCUGGCAGAGGACACGAACCGAAC